RNAcentral lists this ribosomal RNA (531 nucleotides) under Fusarium equiseti. Its description in RNAcentral is "eukaryotic LSU rRNA". The stretch from base 185 to 338 matches the Rfam family "5.8S ribosomal RNA". The record is from RNAcentral. Lineage: Eukaryota; Fungi; Ascomycota; Sordariomycetes; Hypocreales; Nectriaceae.
AAGGAUCUCCGUUGGUGACCAGCGGAGGGACAUUACCGAGUUUACAACUCCCAAACCCCUGUGAACAUACCUAUACGUUGCCUCGGCGGAUCAGCCCGCGCCCCGUAAAACGGGACGGCCCGCCCGAGGACCCCUAAACUCUGUUUUUAGUGGAACUUCUGAGUAAAACAAACAAAUAAAUCAAAACUUUCAACAACGGAUCUCUUGGUUCUGGCAUCGAUGAAGAACGCAGCAAAAUGCGAUAAGUAAUGUGAAUUGCAGAAUUCAGUGAAUCAUCGAAUCUUUGAACGCACAUUGCGCCCGCCAGUAUUCUGGCGGGCAUGCCUGUUCGAGCGUCAUUUCAACCCUCAAGCUCAGCUUGGUGUUGGGACUCGCGGUAACCCGCGUUCCCCAAAUCGAUUGGCGGUCACGUCGAGCUUCCAUAGCGUAGUAAUCAUACACCUCGUUACUGGUAAUCGUCGCGGCCACGCCGUUAAACCCCAACUUCUGAAUGUUGACCUCGGAUCAGGUAGGAAUACCCGCUGAACUUAA